CCUACGGGUGGCAGCAGUGGGGAAUAUUGGACAAUGGGGGGAACCCUGAUCCAGCCAUGCCGCGUGUGUGAAGAAGGCCCUCGGGUUGUAAAGCACUUUCAGUGAGGAAGAACGCCUGGUGGUUAAUACCCAUCAGGAAAGACAUCACUCACAGAAGAAGCACCGGCUAACUCCGUGCCAGCAGCCGCGGUAAUACGGAGGGUGCGAGCGUUAAUCGGAAUUACUGGGCGUAAAGCGCGCGUAGGUGGCUUGAUAAGCCAGUUGUGAAAGCCCCGGGCUCAACCUGGGAACGGCAUCCGGAACUGUCAAGCUAGAGUGCAGGAGAGGAAGGUAGAAUUCCCGGUGUAGCGGUGAAAUGCGUAGAGAUCGGGAGGAAUACCAGUGGCGAAGGCGGCCUUCUGGACUGACACUGACACUGAGGUGCGAAAGCGUGGGUAGCAAACAGGAUUAGAUACCCUGGUAGUC
This 465-nucleotide ribosomal RNA is filed under the name Vreelandella stevensii. RNAcentral describes it as "partial 16S ribosomal RNA". It matches the Rfam family "Bacterial small subunit ribosomal RNA", at positions 338 to 795 of the family's 1533-position model. Lineage: Bacteria; Pseudomonadati; Pseudomonadota; Gammaproteobacteria; Oceanospirillales; Halomonadaceae. The record is from RNAcentral.